RNAcentral lists this ribosomal RNA (236 nucleotides) under uncultured bacterium. RNAcentral's name for it is "partial 16S ribosomal RNA". It matches the Rfam family "Bacterial small subunit ribosomal RNA", at positions 30 to 264 of the family's 1533-position model. The record is from RNAcentral.
AUUGAACGCUGGCGGCAUGCCUUACACAUGCAAGUCGAACGGCAGCACGGGGGCAACCCUGGUGGCGAGUGGCGAACGGGUGAGUAAUGCAUCGGAACGUGCCCAGUAGUGGGGGAUAACUAGUCGAAAGAUUAGCUAAUACCGCAUACGACCCAUGGGUGAAAGCGGGGGACCUUUACCGGCCUCGCGCUAUCGGAGCGGCCGAUGUCUGAUUAGCUAGUUGGCGGGGUAAAGCC